RNAcentral lists this ribosomal RNA (1402 nucleotides) under uncultured bacterium. RNAcentral describes it as "bacterial SSU rRNA". It matches the Rfam family "Bacterial small subunit ribosomal RNA". The record is from RNAcentral.
AGAGUUUGAUUCUGGCUCAGAACGAACGCUGGCGGCGCGUCUUAAGCAUGCAAGUCGAGCGGCAAGCUAUGUGUUUACACGUAGCCUAGAGCGGCGGACUGGUGAGUAACACGUGGGUGACCUACCUAAAAGUUGGGAAUAGCCGUUAGAAAUAGCGGGUAAUACCGAAUGUGCUUACAGGAAGAAAGUCUUGUAAGGAAAGGAGCUACGGCUUCGCUUUUAGAUGGGCCCGCGCCCCAUUAGCUAGUUGGUGGAGUAAAAGCCUACCAAGGCGAUGAUGGGUAGCCGGCCUGAGAGGGUGAACGGCCACACUGGGACUGAGAUACGGCCCAGACUCCUACGGGAGGCAGCAGCUAAGAAUAUUCCGCAAUGGACGAAAGUCUGACGGAGCGACGCCGCGUGGAUGAUGAAGGCCGGAAGGUUGUAAAAUCCUUUUGUCAACGAAGAAUAAGCGGAGGAGGGAAUGUCUUCGUGAUGACGUUAGUUGACGAAUAAGCCCCGGCUAAUUACGUGCCAGCAGCCGCGGUAACACGUAAGGGGCGAGCGUUGUUCGGAAUUAUUGGGCGUAAAGGGCGCGUAGGCGGUUUUGCCAGCCUGAUGUGAAAGCCUGGGGCUUAACCCUGGAAUUGCAUUGGGAACUGCAAGACUUGAAUCAUGGAAGGGAAAUCAGAAUUCCAGGUGUAGGGGUGAAAUCUGUAGAUAUAUGGAGGAACACCGAUGGCGAAGGCAGCCGUCUGGCCAUGUACUGACGCUGAGGCGCGAAGGUGCGGGGGGCAAACAGGUUUAGAUACCCUGGUAGUCCGCACAGUAAACGAUGGGCACCAGGCGGCGGGGGCAACCUCGCUGCCGCAGCUAACGCAUUAAGUGCACCGCCUGGGGAGUAUGCCCGCAAGGGUGAAACUCAAAGGAAUAGACGGGGGCCCGCACAAGCGGUGGAGCAUGUGGUUUAAUUCGAUGCAACGCGAAGAACCUUACCCGGUCUUGACAUCCGUAGGAUCCUUCAGAGAUGAGGGAGUGCCUUUCGGGGAACUACGAGACAGGUGCUGCAUGGCUGUCGUCAGCUCGUGUCGUGAGAUGUUGGGUUAAGUCCCGCAACGAGCGCAACCCCUGCAUCCAGUUGCCAUCAUUAGGUUGGGGACUCUGGAUGGACCACUGCGGUAACAACGCAGAGGAAGGUGGGGACGACGUCAAGCAAUCAUGGUCCUUACGACCGGGGCUACACACGUGCUACAAUGGUAGUUACAGAGGGUUGCGAAGCCGUAAGGUGGAGCUAAUCUCAUAAAAGCUACGCAAGUUCGGAUUGAGGUCUGCAACUCGACCUCAUGAAGCUGGAAUCGCUAGUAAUCGCGCAACAUCAUGGUGCGGUGAAUACGUUCCCGGGCCUUGUACACACCGCCCGUCA